CCGCGCCGCCGCGUGGAGCCCGACUCUCCUGGCCGGCUGGCUGGCUGGCUCUCGGCGUUGUGCGCAACAGAAUGGUUCAGCAAGUUCCAGAAGACAUCAGUGUUCCUGCUGAAGAAGAGAAAAUCUUGCAGUUCUGGUCCAAAUUUAAUUGUUUUCGGGAACGUUUAAAGCAAUCAAAACAUAGGCCCAAGUGGGUCUUUAACAACUGUGAUAAAGGCCUUGUUUACAGAGGUGUGAAAGCCAUGCCUUUCUCCACCACGUGAAGCACUCCCUUUUCUAACUUCAAAUCACACCAGAAUUACAAGGACGCUGACAAAAAUUUCAUCAGGAUCUUGGAGGAACAGGGCCGACUUCUUCUUGCCAGUACCUUCACUCACAGCUGCCCUUCCUGCUGGAGGAGAGAGGAGAGACUUUUGUAGCUGGAGCUUCAAGUUUGUGGAUAUACUUGUGUGUGCCAUGCCUUCAUGUUUGUGGUGUCCAUCGCUUGGCUGUCCUGUACAGUUAGUGUCAGAAAUUGCUCUCUUACCACAUUUUGAGUUUUAUGAAUGCGUGAAGCUGUCUCUUUCCUCAGGAGUUGUGCGACAAAAAGACAUACAGAAAUCUGUUUUGUGCUGUGGCCACGUUUUUUUAGGAUGAGCAUCAUCUCUGAAAUUUUACAGUGGAAUUUAUUGAGAAGUUAGUAUAUCGAGUGUAAAUACCCAGAUGGAAAUAUAACAUUCAGCACCCUGAAG
Non-coding RNA from Castor canadensis (American beaver), 731 nucleotides. NCBI's taxonomy places the organism in Eukaryota, Metazoa, Chordata, Mammalia, Rodentia, Castoridae. The record is from RefSeq and is a predicted model, not a curated record.